GCAGGGGUGUCCCCACUCCGAUGGGUCUAUGUCUCCUGUGCUGAGGCCCCAGAGCUGCAGGAGCCAUUUCCUCAGCCCCGCGCUCAUCUUUCUGCCACGCCCCUGCACCAGCCAUUGGAUCUGCUGUGGCUGCGUCACCCUCUUCCCCUGCUCACUGUCCCCAGCCCUGCCUCUGAAGGAGGGAGCCCGGCCCAUUUCCCCAGGCACACGUGGGCAAUAAAAACUGCAGUACAGGGAUAUUGGGUGACGGUUACAUCCAGCUUGUGCUCUCCAUUUUCACUGUCUUGAAAACUGCCUGGGAGUAACUCCAUCACCAGGGUUCAUCGUGGUUACCACUCGCUCCUUGGGCUCCGACCGACUCCUGAUCCAGCGCAGGCAGAGAUACAAGGCACUUUUGGGAAGCUUGGUUUCUUCCAAGAGAGAGAAUUCAGCUCUUUGAUCCCGCUUUUCCCUGCUGAAGGAGAUCCCGGACUGACCCUCCUUUAUAUGAUCUGAAUUUUCGAAGAUCUGCAAAAGAAAUGGCAAGAUUUUUCCGUGUGGUUUGCUGCAGUUUCAGUUGCCAGCUCAAGAGUAUGGUAUGUGAGUCUAUGGUCAGGUAUCCUUACGGCUGUGUUUCCAUAUAUAAACAUGUACUUUAACUUGGAGAAAUACUUUGCUGACAAGUAAAGGUCAUUUGCUCAAACUGAGACAGUGUUUCCUUAAUUUCCUGUCCCGGCAAACUGGGCACAAGAGCAUGUAACUCCCUUCUG
Long non-coding RNA from Calidris pugnax (ruff), 749 nucleotides. RefSeq lists it as uncharacterized. The transcript has 4 exons. The record is from RefSeq and is a predicted model, not a curated record. NCBI's taxonomy places the organism in Eukaryota, Metazoa, Chordata, Aves, Charadriiformes, Scolopacidae.